This 566-nucleotide ribosomal RNA is filed under the name Echinorhynchus sp. Ech140219. Its description in RNAcentral is "partial large subunit ribosomal RNA". Lineage: Eukaryota; Metazoa; Acanthocephala; Palaeacanthocephala; Echinorhynchida; Echinorhynchidae. The record is from RNAcentral.
UUCACAAGUGCGUGAAACUGUACACUGUAAAGCGAAUGAUUGAGCGAUUAGAAUGUCGAUCACUCAGGUGUCAUGUAUGUUUCAAAGGUUUGCUGAAUCUUUGCUUGAAUUGUCAUGUGCCUGAUACUGUACUUGAUUGUGUCUGGAAUUGCUUGGUGGGCUACCGCUAACAUACCGAUCUGACGGAAAAGAGUCUCUUUUUGAGUCUCUUAUAGAAUAUUGCUUUUGAACUGUUUUAUGCAUUCGGUAAUGCUUGCCCACUUCUGAAAUAUGCCUGUAACUGUGUACACCGUAUGUGGUGCAACUAUCGUAAAGUGAAAUUGUGCAUGUGUUGUCAGUAUGUUAAAAGGUUCGUGAGAAGCAAUUGUCAUUUGCUGUGAAUCAGUCUAAACCGUCUUGAAACACGGACUAAGGAGUUCAACUCGAACGCAAGUCGUUUUCUGAAACGAAAUUUAAAGGCAAAGUGAAAACAACUCUUGAUGAGAUGUUAACUGAUGCGUACGCGCUGAUGAUAAGCACAAGUGAUGAGUAGCACAGUUGUAAUUGUUGCUGACUGCACCUGAGCG